UAGAGUUUGAUCCUGGCUCAGAAUCAACGCUGGCGGCGUGCCUAACACAUGCAAGUCGAACGCGAAAGGGGAGCAAUCCCUGAGUAGAGUGGCAAACGGGUGAGUAACACGUGGGUGACCUGCCUCAGAGUGGGGGAUAACGUCCCGAAAGGGACGCUAAUACCGCAUAACAUCCUGCCUUUGGAAAGGCGGAGAUCAAAGCCGGGGAUCGCAAGACCUGGCGCUUGGAGAGGGGCCCGCGUCUGAUUAGCUAGUUGGUAGGGUAAUGGCCUACCAAGGCGACGAUCAGUAUCCGGCCUGAGAGGGCGGACGGACACACUGGGACUGAGACACGGCCCAGACUCCUACGGGAGGCAGCAGUGGGGAAUUGUUCGCAAUGGGCGCAAGCCUGACGACGCAACGCCGCGUGGAGGAUGAAGAUCUUCGGGUCGUAAACUCCUGUCGAGCGGGACGAACACUUAUCCGGAUAACACCUGGAUAGGCUGACGGUACCGCUAAAGGAAGCCCCGGCUAACUCCGUGCCAGCAGCCGCGGUAAUACGGGGGGGGCAAGCGUUGUUCGGAAUUACUGGGCGUAAAGGGCUCGUAGGCGGCCAACUAAGUCAGACGUGAAAUCCCCAGGCUCAACCUGGGAACUGCGUCUGAUACUGGAUGGCUUGAAUCCGGGAGAGGGAUGCAGAAUUCCAGGUGUAGCGGUGAAAUGCGUAGAUAUCUGGAGGAAUACCGGUGGCGAAGGCGGCAUCCUGGACCGGCAUUGACGCUGAGGAGCGAAAGCCAGGGGAGCAAACGGGAUUAGAUACCCCGGUAGUCCUGGCCCUAAACGAUGAAUGCUUGGUGUAACGGGUAUCGAUCCCUGUUGUGCCGAAGCUAACGCAUUAAGCAUUCCGCCU
Molecule: ribosomal RNA, 889 nt
Filed under: uncultured bacterium
Lineage: Bacteria
Description: bacterial SSU rRNA
Rfam family: Bacterial small subunit ribosomal RNA
Source: RNAcentral